Molecule: ribosomal RNA, 967 nt
Filed under: Shigella flexneri
Lineage: Bacteria; Pseudomonadati; Pseudomonadota; Gammaproteobacteria; Enterobacterales; Enterobacteriaceae
Description: partial 23S ribosomal RNA
Rfam family: Bacterial large subunit ribosomal RNA
Source: RNAcentral
GUUGUGAGGUUAAGCGACUAAGCGUACACGGUGGAUGCCCUGGCAGUCAGAGGCGAUGAAGGACGUGCUAAUCUGCGAUAAGCGUCGGUAAGGUGAUAUGAACCGUUAUAACCGGCGAUUUCCGAAUGGGGAAACCCAGUGUGAUUCGUCACACUAUCAUUAACUGAAUCCAUAGGUUAAUGAGGCGAACCGGGGGAACUGAAACAUCUAAGUACCCCGAGGAAAAGAAAUCAACCGAGAUUCCCCCAGUAGCGGCGAGCGAACGGGGAGCAGCCCAGAGCCUGAAUCAGUGUGUGUGUUAGUGGAAGCGUCUGGAAAGGCGUGCGAUACAGGGUGACAGCCCCGUACACAAAAAUGCACAUACUGUGAGCUCGAUGAGUAGGGCGGGACACGUGGUAUCCUGUCUGAAUAUGGGGGGACCAUCCUCCAAGGCUAAAUACUCCUGACUGACCGAUAGUGAACCAGUACCGUGAGGGAAAGGCGAAAAGAACCCCGGCGAGGGGAGUGAAAAAGAACCUGAAACCGUGUACGUACAAGCAGUGGGAGCACGCUUAGGCGUGUGACUGCGUACCUUUUGUAUAAUGGGUCAGCGACUUAUAUUCUGUAGCAAGGUUAACCGAAUAGGGGAGCCGAAGGGAAACCGAGUCUUAACUGGGCGUUAAGUUGCAGGGUAUAGACCCGAAACCCGGUGAUCUAGCCAUGGGCAGGUUGAAGGUUGGGUAACACUAACUGGAGGACCGAACCGACUAAUGUUGAAAAAUUAGCGGAUGACUUGUGGCUGGGGGUGAAAGGCCAAUCAAACCGGGAGAUAGCUGGUUCUCCCCGAAAGCUAUUUAGGUAGCGCCUCGUGAAUUCAUCUCCGGGGGUAGAGCACUGUUUCGGCAAGGGGGUCAUCCCGACUUACCAACCCGAUGCAAACUGCGAAUACCGGAGAAUGUUAUUACGGGAGACACACGGCGGGUGCUAA